Molecule: ribosomal RNA, 264 nt
Filed under: uncultured bacterium
Lineage: Bacteria
Description: partial 16S ribosomal RNA
Rfam family: Bacterial small subunit ribosomal RNA
Source: RNAcentral
CCGGCGACCGGCGCACGGGUGAGUAACACGUAUGCAACCUGCCCUCUUCAGGGGGACAACCUUCCGAAAGGGAGGCUAAUCCCGCGUAUAUCGGUUUCGGGCAUCCGAGAUCGAGGAAAGAUUCAUCGGAAGAGGAUGGGCAUGCGGCGCAUUAGCUAGACGGCGGGGUAACGCCCACCGUGGCGACGAUGCGUAGGGGUUCUGAGAGGAAGGUCCCCCACACUGGUACUGAGACACGGACCAGACUCCUACGGGAGGCAGCAG